AACCUCCCCGGAACAGGUGAAUAGCCUUGCGAAAGUAAGAUUAAUACACCGUACCAUAUAGUUGUGGCAUCACGAUUAUAUUAUAGGUAGCAAUACCGGUUCCGGAUGGGCGUGCGCCUGAUUAGGUAGUUGGUGCGGGUAACGGCCCACCAAGCCUUCGAUCAGUAACUGGUGUGAGAGCACGACCAGUCACACGGGCACUGAGACACGGGCCCGACUCCUACGGGAGGCAGCAGUAAGGAAUAUUGGUCAAUGGACGCAAGUCUGAACCAGCCAUGCCGCGUGGAG
Molecule: ribosomal RNA, 288 nt
Filed under: uncultured bacterium
Lineage: Bacteria
Description: partial 16S ribosomal RNA
Rfam family: Bacterial small subunit ribosomal RNA
Source: RNAcentral